GUGCUUGCUUCGGUACCAUGUACACUAAAAUGGAAGCAUACGGAGAUUAGCAUGGCCCCUGCGCAAGGAUGACACGCAAUUUCGUGAAGCAUUCCAUAUUUUU
Molecule: small nuclear RNA, 103 nt
Filed under: Sus scrofa (pig)
Lineage: Eukaryota; Metazoa; Chordata; Mammalia; Artiodactyla; Suidae
Source: RNAcentral